Molecule: ribosomal RNA, 392 nt
Filed under: uncultured Pseudomonadota bacterium
Lineage: Bacteria; Pseudomonadati; Pseudomonadota
Description: bacterial SSU rRNA
Rfam family: Bacterial small subunit ribosomal RNA
Source: RNAcentral
ACGAAGUAGCAAUACUUAGUGGCAGACGGGUGAGUAACAUGUAGGUAUCUGCCCUUUGGCCUGGAAUAACACGAGGAAACUUGUGCUAAUACCGGAUAAGUCUUUACGGAGAAAGCUUUAUGCACCAUUGGAUGAGCCUGCACUUGAUUAGUUUGUUGGUGGGGUAAUGGCCUACCAAGACUGUGAUCAAUAGCUGAUUUGAGAGGAUGAUCAGCCACAUUGGGACUGAGACACGGCCCAAACUCCUACGGGAGGCAGCAGUGGGGAAUCUUGCACAAUGGAGGAAACUCUGAUGCAGCGAUGCCGCGUGAGUGAAGAAGGCCUUUGGGUUGUAAAGCUCUUUCGUCGGGGAAGAAAAUGACUGUACCCGAAUAAGAAGGUCCGGCUAACUU